GACGAACGCUGGCGGCGUGCUUAACACAUGCAAGUCGAACGGAAAGGCCCUGCUUUUGUGGGGUGCUCGAGUGGCGAACGGGUGAGUAACACGUGAGUAACCUGCCCUUGACUUUGGGAUAACUUCAGGAAACUGGGGCUACUACCGGAUAGGAGCUCCUGCUGCAUGGUGGGGGUUGGAAAGUUUCGGCGGUUGGGGAUGGACUCGCGGCUUAUCAGCUUGUUGGUGGGGUAGUGGCUUACCAAGGCUUUGACGGGUAGCCGGCCUGAGAGGGUGACCGGCCACAUUGGGACUGAGAUACGGCCCAGACUCCUACGGGAGGCAGCAGUGGGGAAUAUUGCACAAUGGGCGGAAGCCUGAUGCAGCAACGCCGCGUGCGGGAUGACGGCCUUCGUGUUGUAAACCGCUUUCGCCUGUGACGAAGCGUGAGUGACGGUAAUGGGUAAAGAAGCACCGGCUAACUACGUG
Molecule: ribosomal RNA, 468 nt
Filed under: uncultured bacterium
Lineage: Bacteria
Description: partial 16S ribosomal RNA
Rfam family: Bacterial small subunit ribosomal RNA
Source: RNAcentral